UACGUAGGGGGCUAGCGUUGUCCGGAUUUAUUGGGCGUAAAGAGCGUGUAGGCGGCCAGGUAGGUCUGGUGUGAAAACUCGAGGCUCAACGGCGAGUCGGCCACCGAUACUGGGUUGCUCGAGCACUGUAGAGGCUAAUGGAAUUCCGGGUGUAGCGGUGGAAUGCGUAGAGAUCCGGAAGAACACCGGUGGCGAAGGCGGUUAGCUGGGGCAGUUGCUGACACUGAGGCGCGACAGCGUGGGGAGCAAACAGG
RNAcentral lists this ribosomal RNA (254 nucleotides) under uncultured bacterium. RNAcentral's name for it is "partial 16S ribosomal RNA". It matches the Rfam family "Bacterial small subunit ribosomal RNA", at positions 524 to 776 of the family's 1533-position model. The record is from RNAcentral.